Molecule: non-coding RNA, 1336 nt
Organism: Paramuricea clavata
Lineage: Eukaryota; Metazoa; Cnidaria; Anthozoa; Malacalcyonacea; Plexauridae
Source: the annotation of a GenBank genome assembly
UUCACUUCAUUAAAUAUUCCUACCAUUGCAUUCAUAAACAAUCAUUAUUUGUAUUCUAAUACACUAACACACACCCAUGCAGUGUGAAUUGAAAGAACAAGAUAAUUAUAAGCAAUUGUUUCGAAAACUAGGAUUAGGAAUUAGAUGUCCAGAAACCGAUUUUUCUGCCAAAACUUGUUCGGUCAUAAAAGCAGGCCACCACUGCGGUGUUAGAUCGACGUUUAAUAGCGGAAUUAAAGUCAAGAUUUUAAUAGCAAAGAACAUGCAGAGAUAUAGUCAAAAAGAUUUUGAACCAAAUCACUUGCAAAAGACUGAUAGGCAAAUCAUAUAUAAACGGCCAGCAACAGCAGCACUAUGCCACUAUACCAGAGUUUCGGGUGACUUAAGGCUAAUUUCCACUCAGGAAAAUUAUCUGCAUGUGGAUUGGAACGGACAAGAAAAUUUUUCUUUGUAUUAAACUCAUUAGUUCCAACCCAGAGCUCACAAGAGAAAGAAAAAUUUUCUUGUCCGUUCCAAUCCACGGAUAAUUCCUGAGUGGAAACUAGCCUUUAAAGCGCCACCAUUUCUCAGAAUAUAGGAAUAGAUUUUGCAGGACCGCUAAUCGCUUCUGAUGAGAUGAAAAAGGUAUAUAUCGCAUUGUUUUCGUGUGCGUCACCAGAAGCGUUUAAGACUUUAAGUGUUGCUUGCGGAAAUUUACAGCGCGGCGGGGAAUGUCUAAGCCAACAAUUUCAGAUAAUACACCGGACGCGAUUUGGCAAUGCGACGCGAAUUUUCAAUUUUCAAUGACAAUUAACUUCAAUAUUUUUUCCUAUGUUUUUCAAAUAUUCGGAACCACUUAAGCAAUUUUAGCUAUUUGGGUCUGCAUAUCUUGUAAACUUUUUAUCCUUUGAAGGUUUUAUUUGUUUUUAAAAACUGAAAAGUCGCGUCGCGUUGUCGAAUCGCGUUCGGUCUGUAUGGACCUUUAGUCAUAUGAUUUUGUCACAUGUGUUCUCAGACCGUAUUAAUUUCCGUUGACGUUAUUUGUGGUCAAGACGUAACCUAUUUAAUAUGAAUAAGUAUAUGGUAUAAUAUUUAAUAUGUGUAAAAUUACAUGAUAUUGCUUAUAUCAUGCAUGUAUAUAACACCUGAUAAUAUCAACAAGGUUGUUAUAAGUUGUUAACAGCUUGUUCCAAACUUGUUGAUAACUUGUGACAAGCAGUGCGAACACAAUUUGUUGACGGCUUGUUGGCAGACUUGCUACAAGAUGCGAGAUUUUUACUCAUGUAUUUUAUGAGGUGUGAUAUCCGCCAAAAUUCAUAUAUUCAAUUAUGCCAUUGGAAAUGCAUUUAUGAAGUUC